Molecule: non-coding RNA, 97 nt
Organism: Podarcis lilfordi (Lilford's wall lizard)
Lineage: Eukaryota; Metazoa; Chordata; Lepidosauria; Squamata; Lacertidae
Source: the annotation of a GenBank genome assembly
UGGGGGGGGGGAAAGGGCUUUUCUUCCCACCCCCAGCCUUCAGAAGGCUGUUCUGAAGGCUGGUGGUGGGAAGAAAAGCCCUUCUUCCCACCUCCCG